UACGAAGGGGGCUAGCGUUGUUCGGAAUUACUGGGCGUAAAGCGUAUGCAGGCGGAUCGUUAAGUCGGGGGUGAAAUCCCGAGGCUCAACCUCGGAACUGCCUUCGAUACGGGCGACCUUCGAGUCCGGGAGAGGUGAGUGGAACUCCGAGUGUAGAGGUGAAAUUCGUAGAUAUUCGGAAGAACACCAGUGGCGAAGGCGGCUCACUGGCCCGGUACUGACGCUGAGAUACGAAAGCGUGGGGAGCAAACAGG
RNAcentral lists this ribosomal RNA (254 nucleotides) under uncultured bacterium. RNAcentral describes it as "partial 16S ribosomal RNA". It matches the Rfam family "Bacterial small subunit ribosomal RNA", at positions 524 to 776 of the family's 1533-position model. The record is from RNAcentral.